UACGUAGGGUGCGAGCGUUGCCCGGAUUUAUUGGGCGUAAAGGGCGCGUAGGCGGCCACGCACGUCCGUUGUGAAAUCGCCCGGCUCAACUGGGCGGGGUCAGCGGAUACGGUGUGGCUCGAGCAAGCUAGGGGGCAAUGGAAUUCCCGGUGUAGUGGUGGAAUGCGUAGAUAUCGGGAGGAACACCAGUGGCGAAGGCGGUUACCUGGAGCUUUGCUGACGCUGAUGCGCGAAAGCGUGGGGAGCGAACAGG
Molecule: ribosomal RNA, 253 nt
Filed under: uncultured bacterium
Lineage: Bacteria
Description: partial 16S ribosomal RNA
Rfam family: Bacterial small subunit ribosomal RNA
Source: RNAcentral